RNAcentral lists this long non-coding RNA (1078 nucleotides) under Zalophus californianus (California sea lion). RNAcentral describes it as "lncRNA (ENSZCAG00015010917.1)". The record is from RNAcentral. Lineage: Eukaryota; Metazoa; Chordata; Mammalia; Carnivora; Otariidae.
AUUAUCCCAUGAAAAAGAGAAGUCUCACUCAAAAGCCACAUAGGCUGGAUGCUGUGAAGCCCAAUCUUCUGAUUCUGAAAAAGUCGUAAGGACGGAGCACUCGUAAUGAUGUUCUGGAAACAAAACCCAAGAUGGUUUGAUAUGCUUUGCUGCAAAGAGAACCUGGCUGUCUUUUGGCUGGUACUCUCUUCCAGCUAAAAAUGGGAAACUGAAGACAGAAAGCCACAGAGGAACACAGGUGUGCUGAGCUCCAGGAGAAAUUCUCAACCACCGUGCUUUUCCAAAACACACAUUCCUCUGGGAGAGCUAACAAGGGAUGGUACGAACAGCAAAAUGUGUCGUACAUUCACCAGAUCCUCCAAGGAAGAAGGGCCCACCGCAGCUCCCACAUGAGGGUGAGGGCAUGUCGCCCAAGCGAGGGAGUGAAGGACGACAGGGUCCCGGAAGAUAGGGCUCCAGGGUGACACCUGGGUCCUCUUUGGGAUACUCCGUCCCCGCUGCAAGUCUCUACCUCCGGGCACCCCGACUGGACGUUUUGGAAGGAAAAGCACCGCCAAGGACAAGAGAACAAGAACCCGGGUUGACGACAACGUGCCGAGGAAAAUUUGCAAGGGGUCAGCUCCUCGAAACCUCCCGGCAGAGAAAUGGGAAAUCACGGAUCAUGAGAAAUGGGAACUUCUGACAGAGAGCCCUCCCUUACCAUUCAAAAGGCCGAGGUGUUCCAAAAAACACCCUCCCACUCCUCAUCAGAGAGCUGAAGCCCGGGUCCUUGUCUAACGAAUUUCGGAGAUGACGGUCAACAGGUCUGGGGAUGACUUAACCAUGUUUAUGACAGGCAGACUCCUGGGUUGAGGCUCGGGACAAACCAACCUUUCACAUGAGUCCUUCAAAACAGACAGUGUUCUGUUUGAAUUUCUGAACCCCAUUCUAGGACAAACAUGCUUGGCAUCUAGUGCCAGAGACUUUUCUUCUUGGCCAACGGCUCAGCGGCCACCAUGGCUAUUACACCUUAGGUCCCUGCAGUCUCCUCUCUUCCCCUGCCCCUCAUCCCCUUUUCCCUGAGCUAGUCGCUGUGCCC